This 433-nucleotide ribosomal RNA is filed under the name uncultured bacterium. Its description in RNAcentral is "partial 16S ribosomal RNA". It matches the Rfam family "Bacterial small subunit ribosomal RNA", at positions 29 to 507 of the family's 1533-position model. The record is from RNAcentral.
AACGAACGCUGGCGGCAUGCCUAACACAUGCAAGUCGAACGGGACCUUCGGGUCUAGUUGCGCUCGGGUGCGUACCGCGUGGGAAGCUGCCCGUAGGUACGGAAUACCUCACCGAAGGGGGUGCUAAUACCGGAUAAUGUCUUCGUACCAACGAUUUAUCGCCAUUGGAUGGGCAGGCGUUGGAUUGGCUGGUUGGUAGGGUAACAGCCUACCAAGGAGAGGAUCCAUAGCUGGGCUGAGAGAAGGAUCAGCGACACUGGGACGAAGACACGGCCCAGAAUCCUACGGGAGGGAGGAGAGGGGAAUACAGGAAAAUGGGCGAAGGCCUGAUGCAGCAAUGGCGGGUGAGUGAUGAAGGCGGUAGGGUUGUAAAGCUCGUUUACACGGGACGAUAAUGACGGUACCGGGAGAAUAAGCACCGGCUAACUACGUG